GCAUGCACAGGCUGUCUACCUAAGGCUACUUUCACACCUACGUUAGGUGCGGAUCCGUCUGGUAUCUGCACAGACGGAUCCGCACCUAUAAUCCAAACGCUUUCAGUUCAGAACGGAUUCAUUUGCAUUACCA
Long non-coding RNA from Bufo bufo (common toad), 133 nucleotides. RefSeq lists it as uncharacterized. The transcript is spliced from 3 exons. Lineage: Eukaryota; Metazoa; Chordata; Amphibia; Anura; Bufonidae. The record is from RefSeq and is a predicted model, not a curated record.